UAAAAAGCAAAGAGCUUGUAGUCAAACUCAACAUUUACUGAAAAAUAUGUAAUGACAUAGUUCACCUAUCCCAAGUACACUCUUUGUUGUUGUAGCUAUGAAAUCACAUAUAACUACUAACAAAAGAGGCAGAGGGAUAAAAGGGAAUUACACGCCAAUAAGUAGUACCAUGACUUCUAAUAGGAGAACUUCAAGAAACUGCCAUAAACAAAAGGACAAUUAGAAGACAGCAUGACAAACAGGAGAAAAGAAAAACAAGAGAGAAAAAGGGACAAUCUGAAUAUUUGAUUCUAUUAGUUGGUGGCACGAUGAAUUUCUAGUGGUUGUACGAGUAAAGCCAAUAAACAAGUACCCAUUGAUGUUCAAGAAGUUUCAAGAUCGAAGCUUUACAUACAAUAUAAGAUGGGUAUUGAUACAUCCACAAAAUUCAGCCACUGAAGCAAUUGAACAAGCAUUUUAUGUGCAUUAAAAAGUGGUAAAUCGGUGCUAGCAAGGGUACCAUAGAAUGCUAG
This 512-nucleotide long non-coding RNA is filed under the name Coffea arabica (coffee). RNAcentral describes it as "long non-coding RNA (CARA_LNC004549)". Lineage: Eukaryota; Viridiplantae; Streptophyta; Magnoliopsida; Gentianales; Rubiaceae. The record is from RNAcentral.